This 514-nucleotide ribosomal RNA is filed under the name uncultured Coxiellaceae bacterium. RNAcentral describes it as "bacterial SSU rRNA". It matches the Rfam family "Bacterial small subunit ribosomal RNA", at positions 450 to 969 of the family's 1533-position model. The record is from RNAcentral. Lineage: Bacteria; Pseudomonadati; Pseudomonadota; Gammaproteobacteria; Legionellales; Coxiellaceae.
AGGGUAAUAUACUUGAGCAUUGACGUUAUCUACAGAAGAAGCACUGGCUAACUCUGUGCCAGCAGCCGCGGUAAUACAGAGAGUGCAAGCGUUAAUCGGAAUCACUGGGCGUAAAGCGCGCGUAGGUGGAUGUUUAAGUCGGAUGUGAAAGCCCUAGGCUUAACCUAGGAACUGCAUUCGAUACUGAAUAUCUCGAGUAUGGUAGAGGGAAGUGGAAUUUCCGGUGUAGCGGUGAAAUGCGUAGAUAUCGGAAAGAACACCAGUGGCGAAGGCGGCUUCCUGGACCAAUACUGACACUGAGGUGCGAAAGCGUGGGGAGCAAACAGGAUUAGAGACCCUGGUAGUCCACGCCGUCAACGAUGAGAACUAGCUGUUGGGAAGUUUACUUUCUAGUAGCGAAGCUAACGCGUUAAGUUCUCCGCCUGGGGAGUACGGCCGCAAGGUUAAAACUCAAAGAAAUUGACGGGGGCCCGCACAAGCGGUGGAGCAUGUGGUUUAAUUCGAUGCAAAAAAA